Non-coding RNA from Nothobranchius furzeri (turquoise killifish), 360 nucleotides. The record is from the annotation of a RefSeq genome assembly. NCBI's taxonomy places the organism in Eukaryota, Metazoa, Chordata, Actinopteri, Cyprinodontiformes, Nothobranchiidae.
AUGAUGAUGUCACUGACUCUACUGCUGACCACCCUGGGGCUCCUUGUUCACGGUUCAUCAGGAGAAAUCAGUGUGGCUCAGACUCCAGGAGCUCAGUCUGUUGCUGCAGGACAAACUGUUUCUAUCAGAUGUAAAACCGACACACUGAUAGGUGAUGACAUGAACUGGUAUCUUCAGAUAUCUGGAGAAGCUCCUAAACUCCUGAUUGCUGAUACAACACUUCGUCAGUCUGGAGUUCCAAAUCAUUUUUGAGCAAGUUACUCGGGAACUGACUUCACUCUGACCAUCAGUGGAGUUCAGCCUGCAGAUGCAGGAGUUUAUUACUGUCAGCAGGAUUACAACUUACCGUUCACACAGUGA